UACUGUGCUUUGACAAGGAGUAGUAGUAUUUUUAUCUAUCGAAGAGAGCUGUUGGUUGGUGUAAAACAGCACUGAUAAAGUAUGAACUCGCCUUUGAGCUUAUCUGAAGAAAAUCAGAUACGGUUAAAACCGUUAUAUUUUUGAGUGAAAGCAAGUAUAAAAUUAUAUUUGUUUUAAUAAGAGUGGUACCGCGGAAUUCAGGCUUUUCGUCUCUUGC
Molecule: non-coding RNA, 217 nt
Filed under: Clostridium magnum
Lineage: Bacteria; Bacillati; Bacillota; Clostridia; Eubacteriales; Clostridiaceae
Description: T-box sequence
Rfam family: T-box leader
About the family: Uncharged tRNA acts as the effector for transcription antitermination of genes in the T-box leader family. T-boxes are found upstream of many aminoacyl-tRNA synthetase genes and some amino acid biosynthetic genes usually in Gram-positive bacteria. The anticodon of a specific tRNA base pairs to a specifier sequence within the T-box motif, and the NCCA acceptor tail of the tRNA base pairs to a conserved bulge in the T-box antiterminator hairpin.
Source: RNAcentral